Molecule: ribosomal RNA, 251 nt
Filed under: uncultured cyanobacterium
Lineage: Bacteria; Bacillati; Cyanobacteriota
Description: partial 16S ribosomal RNA
Rfam family: Bacterial small subunit ribosomal RNA
Source: RNAcentral
ANAGAGCAGCGUUAUCCGGAAUUAUUGGGCGUAAAGCGUCCGCAGGUGGCGAAUCAAGUCUGCUGUCAAAGGUCGGGGCUUAACUCCGGAAAGGCAGUGGAAACUGAGUCGCUAGAGUGCGGUAGGGGUAGAGGGAAUUCCCGGUGUAGCGGUGAAAUGCGUAGAGAUCGGGAAGAACAUCGGUGGCGAAAGCGCUCUACUGGGCCGCAACUGACACUCAGGGACGAAAGCUAGGGGAGCGAAUGGGAUUA